Long non-coding RNA from Chlorocebus sabaeus (green monkey), 3048 nucleotides. RefSeq lists it as uncharacterized. Lineage: Eukaryota; Metazoa; Chordata; Mammalia; Primates; Cercopithecidae. The record is from RefSeq and is a predicted model, not a curated record.
CGCGCUCCCGCCUAGGGGAGGAGCGCGCACACGCGUCCCCUCCUGGCUGGUGCGUGAAGGUGGAAGGAGGUAGGUUGCGCCGCCCUGUGCUGGCGUUAAAUCUACAGGUCGGAAUAGGGAAAAAGAGCUCUGGACCCUUCGCCCGCCAGGGUAGUACAGCUGCCACCCGGCCCCCAACCUGGGGCCAAGCCCACAUCUGGAGCUCGUUCUGAAAGGUGUAUACAUGGAGGCUGCCAUUGCAUCAAGGUAAUUUUCCACAUGGGAAAAUUGCCUCGAAGACAUUUACCUUUUGGAAUCCAGCUGCUGCAUAAAGAAGUCUGACAUAUCCUGCUGGAAAGACCAAAUGGAGGAGGAGGCCCCAGCCAACAGCCCCAGCUAACUGCCAGACAUGCAUGACACCGUCUUGGACCAUCCAGGCCCAAUUGAGCCCCAGAUGGCAGCAUUGGGGUCGAAAGCACUAGCUGUAGACCCAGACUGCCUGGAUUUGAGUCUUUAUACUGUCAUUUAUUAGGUGUGUAACCUUGAGCUGAUCAACCUUUCUGUGGUUGCCCAUCUGUUUAAUGGGAAGAAGAACAUGUUCAGUUUGCUCACCUGUUAAAUAGGGAUAAGGACAUCUGCUUUGUAAUGUUGUAGUGAAACCAAAUUAAUACAUAUAAAGCAUUUCAAACAGCAUCUGAUACAUGACAAGCAUGCAAUAAAUACUAGCUAUUAUCGAAAUGCCCAUAGACCUCUCAAAUCUCUAGGAUUAUGUCUUUGGACCCUCAUUUGAGAAAUGCCCACCUAGCUAUCUGUCAUUUAAUACAUGGAUGUGUAUUAACUGGAUCCCCUAACCACUUCCUUUUCUGAACAGCUGAAUAUCCUAAAUAUGAAUGAAUGAAGGAGCUAGGGAGGGAGAUGAUUUGGGGAUCGUUUAUGGGGCUGUGGAGAGGUAUAGGAUAGAGUAGGCCUACAUGCAGGUGGCAAAGGGGAAGUUCCGAGGAAAUAUGAUGGUGCUGAAGAGGAAAUGCUAGCUGGCUGGAGGGGGUUACGGAAAUGGAAGACAGAAGGAAGGCCCAGAAGGCCAAUUUGGCCUGGCUUCAGCCCAGCCUGUUCUUCGCUUUUAAAGAGGACAGCCAUCAUACCUCAGUUAACAAUCACAGUUUCCUCCUCAUGAAAAAUUGCUGCUGAAUCAUCAGUUCAUGGCAAGCUGCAUCAUAUAAAUACACUCCAGAGCUCCUGGCUCCUCUGUUGCUAGCAGGACACACAGCUGUUUGCUGCCUGCCAUUGAUGAAACUUUAUACACUCAGCUAUUCUGCUUUAAAAUUCUUGAAAUUGUUGCUUUACCUGGUAGAACCUUUAACCAUUUCUUCUGCCCAUAUUUUUGCAAUUUCCACAUUGCAUUUCACAUCCAUCAAGUUCCUGCCUUAGUUUCCUGACCCCUGGAAGGCCUCUGCCCCCACCAUAGUGGUGGUGAAUAAAUUGUUUCUUCACAAUGGAAACCACAAAGUCUUAUUAGAAAAAUUAAAGAAGACUUAAAUAAGUGGAGGGAAAUACCAAUUCAAGAUUGAAAAACUCAGUAGUAUAAGAUGUUGGUUCUCCCUAAAUGCAUUUGUCAGGGUUCUCCAGAGAAACACAACCAAUAGGAUAUAGAAAUAUAUGCAGAAAGAGAUUAAUCAUGAGGAGUCAGCUGGUAUGGUUAUGGAGGCUGAGAAGUUUCAUUAUCUGCUGUCUGCAAGCUCAAGGCCCAGGAAAGCUGGUGGUAUAAUUUAGUCCAAGUCUGAUAGCCUGAGAACCAGGGGGUCACAAGUGUAAGUCCCAGUCCAAGUCUGAAGGCCUGAGAACCAGGAGCACCAAUGUCCAAGGGCUGGAGGAGACAGAUGCCUCGGCUCAGGCAGAGAUAGUAUUUUUACCCUUCUUCUGCCUUUUUCUUCUAUUUCAGCCUCUGUGUAUUAGAUGAUGCCCACCCACAUUGGUGAAUGUGAUCUUCUUUACUCAGCCUACCCGUUCAGAUGCUGAUCUCCUCCAGAAAUACCCUUGCCAACAUACCCAGAAAGAAUAUUUUACGAGUUACCUGGGCAUCCCUUGGCCCAGUCAAGUUGACACAUAAAAUUAAUCAUCACACCAAAUUAAUCUAUGAAUUCAGUGUGAUCCCAAUCAAAAUCCCAGCUGGGUUUGUGUGUCUAUAUGUGCAUGUAUGGAAACUGUCAAACUGAUGUGAAAAUUCACAUUGAAAUACAAAUAGAUAUAGCAUAUCAGAAAGAGGAUUGAUCCCCUGAGCUCAAAUCCCAACGCCUGCUAGCUGUAUCAAUUUGGACAUGUUGCUUAUCACUCUAAGCCUUUGUUUUUUGGUUUUGGUUUUGGUUUGAUUUUUAUGAAAAUCUACCUCACAGAAUCAUGCAGGUAAAAUGAGACAAUGUAUGUUUUGAAAAAGAAAGACACAGUACCUAACAUGUAGUAGAUGUUCAACAAAUGACAGGUAGUAUUAAAAAGCCUCAAGAUUUAAAAACUAGUGUUAGCAGUAGACCAUAUACUUAGAAGUGUCAGAGACUAAUUCAACUUUAAAGCUAAAAGAAAGAGAACACAACUAGGAUCUCUGUUUUCUCAGUUUUCCUUCACUCAACAACCCCUUGCAUUCUAGCUGUACAGGUUUCAAAGGAAGAAGUUUGGAUGUGUAAAUUUGGGAGUCAUCAACAUCCAGGUAUCACUUAAAGCUAUAAGCUGAUCAGGUUGCCAUUGGGAUAAAGAUAGAGAUGAGCAGAGAGUCUGGUCCUGACUCUGGGACUCCUCAUGGAUGAGAGCUUGUAAGAGACACAGGAGGCAACAAGGUAGGAGGAAAACUGGAGAAUGGUGAGGUUUAUGGCCUGAAAUGAUGUUCACCUAAUGUAAGAUUGGUCAUUUUUGUUGUUGGAAACUUGGGUGAUUUUUGUAACUUUCUCCUUUGCAUUUGUCUCUCUUGCUUGAAUUGUUUAUGAUAAGCAUAUACAAUUUAAACAAAAACAAAGCAAGUAACUAUGGAAUUCUUUUGGUAUAAAAUACCUGAGAAAUCCUAAAUAAAUCUCAAACAGACAA